RNAcentral lists this ribosomal RNA (429 nucleotides) under Fusobacteriota bacterium. RNAcentral's name for it is "Fusobacteria bacterium partial 16S ribosomal RNA". It matches the Rfam family "Bacterial small subunit ribosomal RNA", at positions 355 to 776 of the family's 1533-position model. Lineage: Bacteria; Fusobacteriati; Fusobacteriota. The record is from RNAcentral.
UGGGGAAUAUUGCACAAUGGGCGCAAGCCUGAUGCAGCCAUGCCGCGUGUAUGAAGAAGGCCUUCGGGUUGUAAAGUACUUUCAGCGGGGAGGAAGGGAGUAAAGUUAAUACCUUUGCUCAUUGACGUUACCCGCAGAAGAAGCACCGGCUAACUCCGUGCCAGCAGCCGCGGUAAUACGGAGGGUGCAAGCGUUAAUCGGAAUUACUGGGCGUAAAGCGCACGCAGGCGGUUUGUUAAGUCAGAUGUGAAAUCCCCGGGCUCAACCUGGGAACUGCAUCUGAUACUGGCAAGCUUGAGUCUCGUAGAGGGGGGUAGAAUUCCAGGUGUAGCGGUGGAAUGCGCAGAUAUCAGGAGGAAUACCGGUGGCGAAGGCGGGUCUCUGGGCUGUUACUGACGCUGAGGAGCGAAAGCGUGGGGAGCGAACAGG